UUGAAUUCAGAUUUUAAUAAAAGGAAUAUGAUUACAAUUAACUUUAAUUUUCAAGCCAAAAAAUAUUAAGAACAAGGCACAAAAUCUCUGUAAUAUUAGUAAGUGUAUUGCUAAAAGGUUCUACCUUUUUUUUAGCCGAGAGAGAUGAGUAUAUAUAAUAUUGGGACCAACAGCUAUAAAAUAUUGAAACAAGAAUACCCAAAAUCUUGGAUGGAAUAAAAUAAAAUAUCAGCAACAAUAUUUGAUCCACCAGGUAUGAGAGGAUAUUUCUCCAAAAUAGUUUUUUCAAAGAUUUUGAUAUUCAAAACUAAAACAAUUUGAAAAAGCAUAAUUAAAGGAAAAGAUAUCCCAAACAGAUUUGAUAAAAUUAUGUCAAUAGAGUCUCAAUCAGUUUGUUGACAUAUUCAAAACUGAAUCUAGUAGUACAAUCCAAAUGGAGUAAUCACAAAAACCAAACAAUAAUCAUCAUAGGUACUUUAAUUUAAGUUUUCUGAUAUCAACAUUUUGGAGCUAUUCCCUUAAUUUUCAUGUCUUCUUUAGGUACUUUGUUUAUGUUAUUAUGGAAUAUAUUUAUAAUAUUGUUAACUACUAGAACAUUUAUUAUUAAUAAUAUUUAUAAUAUUGUUUAUUAUUAUUUAUUUUUAAUAUUAAUUAUUAUUAAUAUUUUUGGUGUAGCAAGAUUUUGUUUAAAAAAAAAAAUUAAAGAGGAAACCCGCGGGCCGGGCCGACCCGGCUCAAGCCGGGCCACGGGCCAAACAAUUAUAAUCCACCAAAAUCCGAACUUUUUUGACCCGACCCGUCGUAGGCUCAGUCCGCUCUCGGCCCGGCCCGACCCAUUUGCCAGGUCUAGUUAACCCACUCAUAACUUCCUUGAGUUUAUUUACCAAUGUAAUUUAUUUAACUAACCCACUCAAACAUACGAGACAUUUAUUAGACUAGACACUCCAAGCCCUCCCCCCACAAGGCCCCAACGACAGAAAGGGGGAAAGCUAAUAAAAGCAUAACUUAUUAGCUUUCAGUUCAGCUCUGUAAAUUAGGCUAGCAGUGCACUAGCAUAUCAACUUAUAUGUAGAACAAAUUAGUAUUCAUAAUAGCAUCACAUCUUGAAGUGAGACGAGCAAACCACACAAGUACUUUAUUAUUUAAAUAUGAAAAGCCAAAGCUUACAAUACUGCUUCAAACAAAACACGUAUAAACAAGAAAAAACAGACUUCAAAACCUUAAAAAACAAGACUCAACAACCACAAAACAUAAACUAGUUCUAAUCAAAAGCAACCACUACCAACAGUACCAUGCCAAAAAUAUUUAACAAGCAAACUAGAAAAUGGAAACCUAUUCCAUUAGAUUCACGCACAAACUUCCUUUUCUGCUCAAGGAAGGAGAUUUGAGCUAUGUUUUGAUGGUGAACAGUAACUUCCUUGACUACUGCAUAGAGCAUAGGAAAUCGAACUGCCCUGAGGACUUCUCAGAUAAAAAACAUUAUGUUUUGGAGCUCCGAGUGAAGUUUGUAGAACUUGUCGUCAAAUGAAGCCGCAUAUGAUGAAGCUGAAGGAGUAGACUGCAUCUCCAUUCGUGCCUAUCAGUAUAGUAAACUGGUGGGACAAGGGAGACAGGCUUAGUACAUUGAGCAAAGGUGAAGCACAACUGGUAUAUAAACUUCUGCAACUUAUCAGAUGUGUGUUUGAUAAAACCCUGUAAUAAGAACCUAUUUAAAUAGAGAUAUGUAUAAAAUAAAGAUUCUUUUUUAAAUAAAGUUUAAAUGUAAAAGAUAUGUUUGAUAACCAAUCUGAAUACAACAUUUUACUAAUUUACCCUUAUAUCUGUUUAUACAAACUUAUGCUGAGGAUAAAAAUAUUGGAAAUAUUAAACAAUUAUUUCAAAUAAAUCACCAAUUAGAAUGUAUAACUACUAAAAUAUUUCAAGUUUAAUAAAAUAUAAUAAUAAUUAUGACAAUUUUACAUAAUUAGUAUAAAAUAUGGUGGUGCUGGUGGUGGGUGGGUGGUGACGGGCAGAUUUAAAAAAAAUUCCAGUAGAGACGAAUUUUAACUAAAUUUUUUGUUGAAGUUAAAUAAAAAAAACUUAAACUAAUCAUAAUAAUGUUUACAAAUUAUAAUAAAUAUUCAUAAUCUAAACUAAAAAAGAAAUUUUAAAUAAAAAAUAUUUAGAUACAAUUUAGAAGGCAGAACUAGAAUGAAUAUACGUUGUCUGUACUUGUAUUUAAAAUAUGAAUGAAUUUUUUUUUUGCUCCCUCCAAGUUUAACUCUAAGUGGUGGUGGUGGUGGUGGUGGUGGUGGGGGGAAGAUGUGGGGUCGAGGUAGGUGGUGGUGAUAGAGUGAAGAAUUAAAAAAUAAAAUUAAGGUAGUAAGGGUAAAAAUAUAAAGAGGUUGGGUAAAAUUUUAUCAAAAAAAAUAGGCUCUAGGCGAAAAGAGGCUAGGCCAAAAAGAAGUAAAAAAAAGCUUAUCAAACACAACAAUCUCUACGUGAACAAGAGGCAAGGCCAAAAAAAGCUUAUCAAACACUACAUUAAUAUAUUCUUCAAUUAACAAACAUCAAGACAAACCCAAAAUUUUCUUCCAACACCAUUCUCAGCUUAUCUUAUUACAUCUUACGAGUUAAAUAAUUAUAAGAAAAAAAGUGCUAAAAUGGGAUGAGAUAAAUAAAAUAAAUAAAUAAAUAAAAGGGAAAAACAUGAAUAGACGAAAGUUAUAAUCUUCUACAUUUAGUAAACUUUAUGACCUCUGAAAUCUGUUUAUACUUUUGAAUUAAACUAUAAAAUCAUAAUCUAUAUGUAUAUACAUAUAUAGAUAAUAUUCUCAUCAUAAAACAAAAAAAAUAGAGAUCUAUAAAAAUCGUAUAAAUUAUGAAUAGAAAAAGAAAAUGAUAUGCAUUGUCUGUCCCAUAAUAGGUUCCAUUCUUCUACUCGUCCUUUUUUGAACAAUGGAAUCUAUAAAGGGGGUUAAGUACUAAAAAAUUGACUAUUUUUUUGUUUCUGAGUUUUAUGUCUUUUCUUUAUUUUAGCGAAAAGAUCAAAUACCGAAUCCAUUGAAUUUUCUGGUAUUCAAGGGGAUUGGAAUAUGUAAUAUCGUAAUAAUGGUAGAAAUUGAAUCCCUUUUGAUAUUCUAUACAAAAUUCCGCUCCAAAUUUUUGAUGAUUAAUUAAUCUUUAAUAAGGAAAAAUAAAUUUUUUAAUAUGAGACUAGAAUUUAACUGCUACUAAAAUACUUCUUAAAAUCUCCCAAAUUUUAUUUUAACUAAUUAAGCCUAGAAUUUAACAACAUUUAAAAUACUUUAUAAUGUGCAAGGAAAGGAAAAUAGGAGAAAAGAAAGGAAGAAAAAGAUAUACAUGUUUAUCAUAAUCAUCUCCUACUUAUACUCCUUAUAUAAUUUUCAAUUUCCUUUUAACUUCAUAACUUACCUUCUUCUUUUUUUAAUGCUGAAAAAUACCUUUUAUAUAUAUUCUAAAAAAAAUAUUCAUCAGAUGUUCCACGUUAAACUUUAAAUUUAUACUCCCUCAUCUAUCAAACAAAAACUCCAAAAUGUGCAAUUUUAUUUGUCAGUUUGCUAAUAUUAAAAAAAAUAAAGAGUUUCAAUUUUUUUAAAAUAAUAUAAAAUAACAUAAUUGUCACAAAUUUAUAAUCACAAUAAUGUUAACUAAUUUUUAACAUAUAUAAUAUUAAAAUUUAUAAAUUAUAUGCAGUUAGUAAGUUAAGUUAUGAAAUUAUUAACUAUUAACUAUUAAAAAUAAUUACUACUUAGUGUCGUAGAACCAUAAUUCUUUUUAUGAUCCAACAAAUCUAAUGUUAACUUAUUAUUAUACAACAAUUAUUCUAAAAAAAGAGACCUUUAAUUAUUUAGUCAUACAAUAAAUUUUAAUUUAAAAAAUAUAUUUAAAAUUUUACUUUACUCAACUUAGGAUUCUAAAUAACUAAUAAAUAUUGUAAAUUAUCUAAUAAAUGUUACUCAUUUUAAGUUUUAUUAUUUCAUAAUUUUUAAUGAGUCAAUUGAUUUUCAAAAGUCAACAACGAUCAAAUAAUUUGAAAUUACUAAAUAUAAUAUAUUAUAUUAUAAAAUAUAUUAACGAUUAAAAUAUUCAAAAAAUUAUUAUUUGUUAUAAAACAUAUUAAUGACUAAAUUUUAAUUAUCAAUUUUAUUUAAUGUAGGAGACAUUUAGUUGGGUAAUGUUUAAAAUAAUUUUGAAAUAUAUUAGUGACUAAAAUUUAGUUAAUUUUUUAAACUAAAAGUCAUAAUAUUAACUUAUUAUUCAGCAAAAAGGUUAUUCCUAAAUAACUACAUAUUAAAAAUAUUAAAAAACUAUUAUGACAAAAUAAAAGUUAAUAUUAAAAACAAAAUAUAUAUUAAAAAUUAUUAAUAAUUAAAUUUUAGUCACCAAUUUUAUUUCAAAUAAAAAAUCUUUAGUUAAUGAUUGUUAGCAAAAUUCCUCACUUAUACGUAGUAUUAGUUAUUAAAAUUUUGUUACGCCAAAAAUAACUUAUUAUUCUAUAAUAAUUUUAUUACAUAUAAUCAAAUUGAGUUUCUUAAACAAUAAGUUUAGGCUAUUACGUUCUAAUAUAAUAUAUAUAAACAGGGUGCAAAUAUUUUAAUUUAGAUAUGCAUUUAAAACAUACAUGUAGAAAUAACAUCCAUAUGAUCCAAGGACACAAGGGAGCAACAGUUUUAAAGAUCUAUACCGGGAACAUGAACAUGAACAGGUACAGGAUCCUUGUCCGAGUCUGACCAGCGCCGCCUCCUUCGGCAGAAGCCCAAGAGCCCCUCCCACCCACAUGACGAGGACUACCACUCCAGGACCUUCUUCCGCCGGUGGCCCCCGCACCUUGACCCAUAGCAGACUGUGGCCUCUGGAACCCACCUUGACCACCCUGAACCGACCGAUUUCCCCACGGCUGAGCCGGUGGUGGGUUAGUCCCCAUCUGGGUCCCACCUUGACCACCGUGAACCGGCCGAUCUCCCCACGUCUGCGCCGGUGGUUAGUCCGCAUCCGAGUCUCACUCCUAUCACCACCUCUUCCUCCUCUUCUUCCAUAUCCAUAACUUUGAUACUGACCCUGAUUAUGCGGCUGGCAAUUAUUACCAUCUCCACCACAAGAAUUUCUAGCACCACCACCAGUUUGAUACUGAUCCUGAUGAUAUUGCUUAUUAUCACAUCUAACACCACCAGAUCCGCAGCCACGACCCCGGCCAGCGCCACCGCCACCGCUACGAUUGUAGUUACUCUUUCCCCAUUUCUCUCACUAAAUUUAUCUCUCUAUACUCAAAAUGUACUGAUUGAGUGGGUUGGUUUGAGUGUUGAUGUUAUGGAUAGUGAAUAUUUAAUAGGAAUUUUGAAGGUAAUUAAUGGACGAAAACAACCUUACUUUGUCACCAAGAAUUGAACAGUGAAACGGAGAAGAUUCUAUUGAAUUCUGGAAGGAUCGAUAGAAAAGAACCUUUCUU
RNAcentral lists this long non-coding RNA (5449 nucleotides) under Panax ginseng (ginseng). Its description in RNAcentral is "long non-coding RNA (PGIN_LNC018539)". The record is from RNAcentral. Lineage: Eukaryota; Viridiplantae; Streptophyta; Magnoliopsida; Apiales; Araliaceae.